Molecule: long non-coding RNA, 1544 nt
Filed under: Homo sapiens (human)
Lineage: Eukaryota; Metazoa; Chordata; Mammalia; Primates; Hominidae
Description: HSALNT0139376
Source: RNAcentral
GCUUCUAUUACAGAUGGAUCACUAGUCAGUGAAGUGAAAUAUUCAGCUGACCACUGUUCUCUUUGAAGGGGAAAAUAAGAUUAUCCAUUGAAAAUGGAAGAUCAUGGUAAAAGCCAUGAAGAGAGAGAAGAGCAAUGAAAAUUUCAAAGUGCUGGUAAAGGAAACAGAAAGGAAAUUGAGCACUCAUAGCUAAUAAUAAUCACAGUUCACCUGUAUUAAACUCCUACUGUAUGCCAAGCAUUGUACAUAUUAUCUCUAACCUUUAACAAACAAAAAGGAAAAAUGGCUACAGCAAUUUUAUUAUCUCUUCUUAUAGAUCUGCACUGUUCAGUAAGGUAGCCAUUAGCCACAUAUGAACACUGAGUACUUAAAAUGUGGCAAAUCUGAAUUAAAAUGUUCUAUAAGUGGGCCAGGCACAGUGGCUCAUGCCUGUAAUCCCAGCACUUUGGGAGGCUGAGGUGAGCAGAUCACCUGAGGUUAGGAGUUCAAGAGCAGCCCGGCCAGCAUGACGAAACCCGGUCUCUACUAAAAAUACAAAACAACUAGCCAAGCGUGGUGGUGUGUGCCUGUAGUCCCAGCUACUUGGGAGGCUGAGGCAGGAGAAUUGCUUGAACCCGGGAGGUGGAGGUUGCAGUGAGCCAAGGUCACGCCACUGCACUCCAGCAUGGGCGACAGAGCAAGACUCCAUUUCAAAAAAAGAAAAAAUAUAUUUUAUAAGUAUAAAAUACAUACUAUAUUUCAAAGAUUUAGUAUUAGACAAAAGAAUGUAAAAUAUCUCAGUAUUUCUGUAUUGAUUGCAUGAUUUUUGAAAUUACUUUGUUAAAUAUAUUAUUAAAAUUAAUGUCACCUGUUUCUUUUUAUGUGUUUAAAUAUGGUACUAGAAAAUGUAAAACCUCACAUGAUGCUUUCAUUGUGCUUUAUUGGACAGUGCCAUUGGAGCUUGGAGAUAUUAACUGAGAUUUGAAACAAGUCUGCCCAAUGCCAAAGCCAGUGCUGUUACUCAACACAGUGCUGCUUCUGAGGACAGGCACGAGGAUGGCAGAGAGAUGCUCAGAAUUCAGAUGGAAUGAGAAACCUGAAAUUGAAGAUGUGUCAGGCUACAGAAAGAUGCAAGUGUCUGUAGCAGAGGAGCCCAGGAGCGAUAAAGGAGGAAGCUGAUUGUUGUUUCAAACCAUGGUCGGGGGUGGACAGCCACAUUUGCCUUCAUUCUAGUCUCCACCUCAAAGCCUUUGGUCUUGCUGUUCCUGUGCCUGGAAUGUUCUACUGACACCCACCACAGGCCUGGUUACUUCUCAUCAUUCAGGCUUUGGUUCAGAUGGGAUCUCCACAGAGAGGACUUUCCUGCUGUCUUAGAUAGUCCAUGCCAUGUUCACAUCUGUCUCCUGCCUCCACCAGUCAAGCUCUAUCCUGUUUCUCUGUUUGUUUUAUUAAUAAAAUAAGAAUUGUUGACAAUAAGAGUACAUUGGUUUAUUGAGUUUAUAUAUCCACCACUGGAAUGUGAACUAUGCAAGGGCAGGAACUGUCUCUUCACCACUCAAUCUCUA